UGACGUUACUCGCAGAAGAAGCACCGGCUAACUCCGUGCCAGCAGCCGCGGUAAUACGGAGGGUGCGAGCGUUAAUCGGAAUUACUGGGCGUAAAGCGCACGUAGGCGGCUGUUUAAGCCAGAUGUGAAAGCCCCGGGCUCAACCUGGGAAUGGCAUUUGGAACUGGGCAGCUAGAGUACAGUAGAGGGGUGUGGAAUUUCAGGUGUAGCGGUGAAAUGCGUAGAUAUCUGAAGGAACAUCAGUGGCGAAGGCGACACUCUGGACUGAUACUGACGCUCAGGUGCGAAAGCGUGGGGAGCAAACAGGAUUAGAUACCCUGGUAGUCCACGCUGUAAACGAUGUCUACUAGCCGUUGGGGUCCUUGAGGCCUUAGUGGCGCAGCUAACGCACUAAGUAGACCGCCUGGGGAGUACGGCCGCAAGGUUAAAACUCAAAUAAAUUGACGGGGGCCCGCACAAGCGGUGGAGCAUGUGGUUUAAUUCGACGCAACGCGAAGAACCUUACCAGGCCUUGACAUCCUUGGAACUUAGCAGAGAUGCUUUGGUGCCUUCGGGAGCCAAGUGACAGGUGCUGCAUGGCCGUCGUCAGCUCGUGUCGUGAGAUGUUGGGUUAAGUCCCGUAACGAGCGCAACCCUUGUCCUUAGUUGCCAGCGCGUAAUGGCGGGAACUCUAAGGAGACUGCCGGUGACAAACCGGAGGAAGGUGGGGAUGACGUCAGGUCAUCAUGGCCCUUACGGCCUGGGCUACACACGUGCUACAAUGGCCGGUACAGAGGGUUGCCAAGCCGCGAGGUGGAGCUAAUCCCGAAAAACCGGUCGUAGUCCGGAUUGGAGUCUGCAACUCGACUCCAUGAAGUCGGAAUCGCUAGUAAUCGUGAAUCAGAAUGUCACGGUGAAUACGUUCCCGGGCCUUGUACACACCGCCCGUCGCACCAUGGGAGUGGGUUGCACCAGAAGAGGCUAGUCUAACCCUUUCUUUUCGAAGGGAG
Molecule: ribosomal RNA, 989 nt
Filed under: uncultured Gammaproteobacteria bacterium
Lineage: Bacteria; Pseudomonadati; Pseudomonadota; Gammaproteobacteria
Description: bacterial SSU rRNA
Rfam family: Bacterial small subunit ribosomal RNA
Source: RNAcentral